UUGAGCCGUAUGCAGGGGAACUUGCACGUACGGUUCUUAGGGGAGGGGUGCGCAGCGAUGCGCGCUCCUUACCCUCC
Molecule: non-coding RNA, 77 nt
Filed under: Janthinobacterium sp. 64
Lineage: Bacteria; Pseudomonadati; Pseudomonadota; Betaproteobacteria; Burkholderiales; Oxalobacteraceae
Source: RNAcentral